GGGCGUGUAGUAUAGGGGUUAUUGCGCUUGCUUCGCAAAUACGUCCUUAGCGGCGUACUUCUGUGGGAGAGGUCUUCGGUUCGAUUCUGGACUCGUCCA
Non-coding RNA from Mycena vitilis, 99 nucleotides. The record is from the annotation of a GenBank genome assembly. NCBI's taxonomy places the organism in Eukaryota, Fungi, Basidiomycota, Agaricomycetes, Agaricales, Mycenaceae.